AGGACGAACGCUGGCGGCGUGCUUAACACAUGCAAGUCGAGCGGAAAGGCCCUUCGGGGUACUCGAGCGGCGAACGGGUGAGUAACACGUGAGUAACCUGCCCCUAGCUCUGGGAUAGCUCCGGGAAACCGGGAUUAAUACCAGAUACGACCACUUUAGACAUCUGUCGUGGUGUAAAGGAUUCUGGCUAGGGAUGGGCCCGCGGCCUAUCAGCUUGUUGGUGGGGUAAUGGCCCACCAAGGCAACGACGGGUA
RNAcentral lists this ribosomal RNA (254 nucleotides) under uncultured bacterium. RNAcentral's name for it is "partial small subunit ribosomal RNA". It matches the Rfam family "Bacterial small subunit ribosomal RNA", at positions 26 to 285 of the family's 1533-position model. The record is from RNAcentral.